CUACGGGACGCAGCAGUGGGGAAUAUUGCGCAAUGGGGGAAACCCUGACGCAGCAACGCCGCGUGAAGGACGAAGGUUUUCGGAUCGUAAACUUCUUUGAUUGGGGAAGAAUAAAUGACGGUACCCAAAAAACAAGCCACGGCUAACUACGUGCCAGCAGCCGCGGUAAUACGUAGGUGGCAAGCGUUGUCCGGAUUUACUGGGUGUAAAGGGCGUGUAGGCGGGGAGACAAGUCAGAUGUGAAAUACCACGGCUCAACCGUGGGGGUGCAUCUGAAACUGUUUCUCUUGAGUGCUGGAGAGGAAAGCGGAAUUCCUAGUGUAGCGGUGAAAUGCGUAGAUAUUAGGAGGAACACCAGUGGCGAAGGCGGCUUUCUGGACAGUAACUGACGCUGAGGCGCGAAAGCGUGGGGAGCAAACAGGAUUAGAUACCCUCGUAGUC
Molecule: ribosomal RNA, 441 nt
Filed under: uncultured bacterium
Lineage: Bacteria
Description: partial 16S ribosomal RNA
Rfam family: Bacterial small subunit ribosomal RNA
Source: RNAcentral